GGGGACUAAAAGGCUCUCAGGUGAUAAUGUUCUUCUGACACGCUGUCAUUUGUGGAGUGUUAUGGCUUCCUUUCGAAAGGUUGUGUGGCGCGUUGGGUAUGAACAGUUGUGAUUUAGCUUUAUCUGUGGGGCUGACUUAUCCGACCCGACCAGCAUGAUCAGGUCAGUGUCAAUGAAGAUCACUCAGAACUGCAGCUAAUGACAUAUAAAGAAUGAAUAACAAGGGAAAAUCCUGAGGUAGAUGCUGAUUGUUUCCAGUGUGGUUUGUGCUCCUCUGGUUGCCAUUUCCUCAUGGAAAUUGGUCACAAACCAGGCUGCUGUGAUGAUGCACAUUGUGGUAUUUUGCCUAAUUCCAUCGGUCUCCAUUUCUCUGCAUUCCUCCUGUUUUCUACCCUCUCGUAACGUUUCACUCAGUCAGCGAGUUAAUUACAUGAAGACCUUAGUUUUGAAUGAAGCCAUACUUGGUGACCCUUCCCGAAGCAAGGAUUGGCCCCUUGACCAGGCUGACUGAGCCAUUACAUAACACAAGUUUACAUCCAUACUCACCCAGGGAUUAUCAAUCCUCAUCGCAGCUGCUUUUAAACCGGGUUCUGUGGGCGCCUCUUGUGUCUUCCAGCUGUUACGAUGGACAGACGAAAUGGGGAUGGUAAAGAGAAGAGAAAAAAAGUUGCAGCCUGGGUGAUUUUUGCUAACCUCUGCAGAAGUUUGGCGUGUGUGUGUGGGUGGGAGGCUUAAGUUGUAGCAUCGGUGAUUUUUGCUUACCUCUGCAGUUGUCGUAUAUUGGUCCCAUUCUUUCUGGGUAAACGUUUUUGAGACCGGAAAAACGACCUAUUAUGGUCUUGAUGAACAGUCUUAACAUAUGACAUAAUGGACAUGAGCACAUACACAGCUCCAAAGAAUUAAGGGAACAUGUUAUCAUCGCAGUACAACCCCAAGUCAAUUAAACCUCAGGGAUGUCAAUCUGUCCAGUUAGGAAACAUAAGCGAUUGUGAAUCAAUGUCACCUGUUUUGGUGCAAAUGAAAGUGACAACAGGUGCACUGGAGAGGCCACGGCAAGACAACCCCAAAAAAGGCAAUGAUUUUGCCAGUGGUGGCCACAGACUAAUGCUCUCUCCUUAUCCUUCCUGACUGAUUCUUCUCUAGUUUUGCUAGUGGCCUUGUUACUACUGGUAGGAUGAGGCAGUACCUGCAGCACAUUCGGGUUGCACAGCCAGUCCAGCUCCUCCAGGAUGGCACAUCCAAACAAGCUAACGCAAGAAGGUUUGCUGUGUCUCCCUGUACAGUCUCGAGCAUUUAGGAGAUACAAUGAAACAGGCCGUUACACGAGGUGAGUUGGACAGUGCUGUAGAAGGGCAUCAACCCAGAAUCAGGAUCGAUAUCUGUUCCUUUGUGCGAGGAAGAACAGGAGGAGCAGAGCCCUACACAAUCCAGCAGGCUACUGGUGGGCAUGUGUCUGACACAACUGUCCAAAACAGACUCCAUGAGGGUGGCAUGAGGGCCUGACGUCCUCUAGUGGGACCAGUGCUCACAGCCCAGCACCGUGCAGCUCGACUGGCAUUCGCCAGAGAUCACCGGAAUUGGCAGGUCUGCUACUGGCGCCCCGUUCUCUUCACAGAUUUGAGCAGGUUCACACUGGGCACCUGUGACAGACGAGAAAGAGUCUGGAGACACCGUGGUGAACGUUAUGCAGCCUGCAACAUCAUCCAGCAUAACCCCCCCCACAGGACACCAUCCACUGUCUCAUCAGGAGCAUGCCCAGACAUUGUCAGGAGUGCAUAGUCACAUGGAGGCCAUACACACUACUGAGACACAUUGAGUUGCCGUGGUGAAAUUCACGCAAGUUGGAACAGCCUGUGAUUUCAAUUGUUUACCUUGAUUUUCGGUGGCGAGUUUGAAUCCAGCCCUCAAUCGGUUGGUGAUUUUGGUUCCCACUGACCGUUGUCCCAUUUUGUUCUCAACGAAUUACACCAUUUUUCCGUUAAUGUGUGAUUUACAGACUUACAGCUCUAUAUAACUGCAUAGGUGUCUGGGGAUGGGCGGAGGUCUGGCGGUAGUAUUGUGCAGCUGUUUAAGGGCUAACAGGUGACUUGAUCUGGUUAGCGUGUAGUCCUGUUGGUCUCACGACAAAAUGUAAAUGAAAACUCAUUUCAGUAGUCCUGCUCUGACCCGGAGCUCUAUAAGGGGAGGAGUAUUUGUGAGUUGUUUCCUGUGUUAAAGUAGAGGUUUAAAACAACAGCUCCGCCUCGAGAUGGAGUCCCGGUUAUGUUUCUGAAAAGUAGUUACGUCUGUGGCGCUAGUGUUACCAUUUUGCGAGGUGCCUUCACCUACCCAGGCCCAGUCACCUGUCACUCUAACCAAGCUAUAGCGUAGAAAAACAACAUUUGUGUGUUCUCUUUUGGUAAGUGGCACAAGCCCUUUGUUUGAACUAAUAAUCUACUCUUAUCCUCCUCAGAUUGGCAUCCGGGGUUUUAUUGUUUGUGUACAGCCUUCACUCCAACCCCAGCCUUGUAAUAACUGAAUCUCAGUAAGGACAGGCCAACCAUGGAGCAGAAAAACAAUGAUUGGCCUGGCACCACCUCCCCUCAGAAACCGUUGAAGAGCAGGUCCAAAUCCACGGAUGAGAUCCAGCAUCCCAAGAGGCUUUCCUCACAGAAGUCCCUUCCUGGUGGGCCAGACCUAGAGAAGGUCAAGGAAAGUCCGGAAGGAUCCGAGACACCUUCAACUUCUACAGAGGAGCUCAAGUGAUGACCGAUGGUGUCCUUUGAAAUAAACUAUGAUGAUCCAUUAUCACUGUACCAUGAGUCUUCUGUACAUAUCAAAGUGAAUGGUCAUUCUUCACAAUAAAGCAAUGCUGUUGAGAGGA
This is a long non-coding RNA of Esox lucius (northern pike), 2863 nucleotides long. The record is from Ensembl. NCBI's taxonomy places the organism in Eukaryota, Metazoa, Chordata, Actinopteri, Esociformes, Esocidae.